RNAcentral lists this ribosomal RNA (367 nucleotides) under uncultured organism. RNAcentral's name for it is "bacterial LSU rRNA". It matches the Rfam family "Bacterial large subunit ribosomal RNA", at positions 2099 to 2465 of the family's 2925-position model. The record is from RNAcentral.
CUUUACUGUAGCCUGGUAUUGGGUUCGGGCUUUGACUGCGCAGGAUAGGUGGGAGACUAUGAAGCUGCCCUUGUGGGGGCAGUGGAGUCAUCAGUGAGAUACCACUCUGUCAAGGCUAGAAUUCUAACCGUCUGCCGUUAUCCGGCGACGGAACAGUAUCAGGUGGGCAGUUUGACUGGGGCGGUCGCCUCCUAAAUGGUAACGGAGGCGCGCAAAGGUUCCCUCAGGCUGGUUGGAAAUCAGCCGAAGAGUGUAAAGGCAGAAGGGAGCUUGACUGCAAGAGCAACAACUCGAACAGGGACGAAAGUCGGCCUUAGUGAUCCGACGGUUCUGUGUGGAAGGGCCGUCGCUCAACGGAUAAAAGUUA